Molecule: long non-coding RNA, 1107 nt
Organism: Panthera uncia (snow leopard)
Lineage: Eukaryota; Metazoa; Chordata; Mammalia; Carnivora; Felidae
Exons: 2
Source: RefSeq, a predicted model, not a curated record
GAAAACAGAAUGGUGGUUGCCAGGCUAAGGGAGCAGAGAGUGGGUAUUAUUUAAUGGGUAUAGAGUUUCAGUUUGACAAGACGAAAAGAGUUAUGGAGAUGGAUGGUGCUGGUAGUUGUACAGCAUUCUGAAUGCAUUUAAUACUACAGAACUGUACAUUUUAGUUUACAUAUAUUUUACCACAAUAAACAUAAGUGAAACAAAAAGCAAGAGAAAACAUGAAAUUAGGGACGAUGAAGAGGAACACAAAGGAAGAUGUAACUUACAAAGUGAUGAUUCAGCUCUCUUGUCAGGGGGCAGGCUCGUGGGUAUUAACUAUAUUGUUUUAUAACUACCGUUUUGUUAAAUUGUCUUUUCGUAUGCAUGAAUAUCGAAUUAGAAAAUAGAGGGAGUAAAUAUUAAAAGGUAAGAGACAGACAGACGGUCGCUUGGGCGCAGGCCCACGGGGUCAGUGACCAAGGCCCCCGGGCACAGGACUCUGCUUGCGGGGGCGGGCGCCGCGCAGGAGCGGGAGGCCGCGGAGGAGCUGCAGCACCGCGUCUGCCCACACGAGGGCGCCCCGCGCUGCCACAUCCAGCCUGGGGUUCUGGACUGGAGGAAAGCCUGGGAGGGAGCCUUCUGGGGGGUUGGGGGCGAGUAGGGAGAGGAGGUUCUGUCUGCUCCCCGGCCGCCCCCCUCUCCCGGUUCUUCGUGUGGUCACCCUCGAAGAAGGAUUAUUUUGAGCUGAUUAUUUUGACGAAGAACAGACACCGGAGAAACUCCAGAAACCGUGGAACUUACUCUUUUGAACGGGAAAUUUAGAGGAAAUCUCUAAGUGUGUCUCCGUCUCCGCACUGGGAAGAGAAGAUAACUCUUAAGUCUCCAGAGAAGCUUAACCAAUGGAGGGAGCAGUGAUUUAAAUCUGCCUAACAAGCUUUAUCCUUGUUUACCCUGCUUUCCUUGCUAAUCUCCCAUACAGACCUCCCCCCUCUCACCUUUUUGUUCUUUUGUCUUUAGCUGAAGAUGGUAUUUAAGCUUCUGGUUUAGGCCACCUGCGAGGGUUAACUUGUUUUUCUCUUGUCCCAAAUAUACACGAGGUAUACAUGUGAAUAAACUUGUUUUUCUCUG